This 217-nucleotide long non-coding RNA is filed under the name Rattus norvegicus (Norway rat). RNAcentral describes it as "long non-coding RNA NONRATT007996". The record is from RNAcentral. Lineage: Eukaryota; Metazoa; Chordata; Mammalia; Rodentia; Muridae.
CUCCUUGAAUUCUUCAGAGGCAGCAGCCAGCCUCAGACACCAUGUCACCAAAGAAAGCCAAGAAGAGGUUAGAGGGCGGAAGCUCCAACGUGUUCUCCAUGUUUGAGCAGACCCAGAUCCAGGAGUUCAAGGAGGCCUUCACAAUCAUGGACCAGAACAGAGACGGCUUCAUUGACAAGAAUGACCUAAGGGACACGUUUGCUGCCCUCGGUAUGUG